This 21-nucleotide microRNA is filed under the name Notamacropus eugenii (tammar wallaby). RNAcentral's name for it is "Neu-Mir-34-P3d_3p* (star (passenger))". RNAcentral also lists the same sequence under 1 other name. The record is from RNAcentral. Lineage: Eukaryota; Metazoa; Chordata; Mammalia; Diprotodontia; Macropodidae.
GCAACUGCAUACACUUCCAUA